Molecule: ribosomal RNA, 466 nt
Filed under: Vreelandella stevensii
Lineage: Bacteria; Pseudomonadati; Pseudomonadota; Gammaproteobacteria; Oceanospirillales; Halomonadaceae
Description: partial 16S ribosomal RNA
Rfam family: Bacterial small subunit ribosomal RNA
Source: RNAcentral
CCUACGGGGUCGCAGCAGUGGGGAAUAUUGGACAAUGGGCGAAAGCCUGAUCCAGCCAUGCCGCGUGUGUGAAGAAGGCCUUCGGGUUGUAAAGCACUUUCAGUGGGGAAGAAAGCCUUGGGGCUAAUACCCUCGAGGAAGGACAUCACCCACAGAAGAAGCACCGGCUAACUCCGUGCCAGCAGCCGCGGUAAUACGGAGGGUGCGAGCGUUAAUCGGAAUUACUGGGCGUAAAGCGCGCGUAGGCGGUCUGAUAAGCCGGUUGUGAAAGCCCCGGGCUCAACCUGGGAACGGCAUCCGGAACUGUCAGGCUAGAGUGCAGGAGAGGAAGGUAGAAUUCCCGGUGUAGCGGUGAAAUGCGUAGAGAUCGGGAGGAAUACCAGUGGCGAAGGCGGCCUUCUGGACUGACACUGACGCUGAGGUGCGAAAGCGUGGGUAGCAAACAGGAUUAGAUACCCCUGUAGUC